This 500-nucleotide ribosomal RNA is filed under the name uncultured Glomeromycotina. RNAcentral's name for it is "partial small subunit ribosomal RNA". It matches the Rfam family "Eukaryotic small subunit ribosomal RNA", at positions 591 to 1092 of the family's 1831-position model. Lineage: Eukaryota; Fungi; Glomeromycota. The record is from RNAcentral.
CCAAUAGCGUAUAUUAAAGUUGUUGCAGUUAAAAAGCUCGUAGUUGAAUUUCGGGAUCAAUAUGUUGGUCGUGCCAUUGGUACGUACUGGUAUCAUUGAUUUCUCCUUUCUGACGAACCAUGAUGUCAUUAAUUUGGUGUUAUGGGGAGUUAGGACUGUUACUUUGAAAAAAUUAGAGUGUUUAAAGCAGGCAUUAGCUUGAAUACAUUAGCAUGGAAUAAUGAAAUAGGACGUUUGACCCUAUUUUGUUGGUUUCUAGGAUCGACGUAAUGAUUAAUAAGGAUAGUUGGGGGCAUUAGUAUUCAAUUGGCAGAGAUGAAAUUCUUGGAUUUAUUGAAGACUAACUACUGCGAAAGCAUUUGCCAAGGAUGUUUUCAUUAAUCAAGAACGAAAGUUAGGGGAUCGAAGACGAUCAGAUACCGUCGUAGUCUUAACCAUAAACUAUGCCGACUAGGGAUCGGAUGAUGUUAAUUUUUUAAUGACUCAUUCGGCGCCUUACG